Molecule: long non-coding RNA, 471 nt
Organism: Hermetia illucens (black soldier fly)
Lineage: Eukaryota; Metazoa; Arthropoda; Insecta; Diptera; Stratiomyidae
Exons: 4
Source: RefSeq, a predicted model, not a curated record
GCAAUUUCUGGUUGUUCUCGAAAGUACUCCCGACGUGAAGCCGGGAUUUUUAUACAAUUUUUGUGCGUUUGUGCAUCAUAAUGGAAUGUGCAGGUAAAUUGGACAUCAGGAAGCGAUGAGUGGCCGUUUCAAUUUGGCUGUUAAAUGGUAUGGAGUCAUUUAAUGAAUUCAGAAGUGGUUCAUUCUCAACUUUGUUUGGCUCUACCUAUCAUCGACAAAAUAUACUCUUGGCGGACCAAAGGAAUGCUUGGAAAACAUGGGCUAAUUUUGAUUUCCAAGUCAAAUUUGAUCCUAGGCCUUGAAGCGUAUUAGAACAGCUAUUUCGAGACCGCAGUGGUUACUCUCCAAUUUCAAUCGACAAAUAAUAUGGAACAACACAAAUUAGAACGUUUGAUUCGAGACUUCACUCUGUGCAAAACAAGCCUUUUAGCCUGGCCUUAUAUUAUCAAUAUUCAUCUAAUCUUUUUAAAA